GAGUUCACUGCAAGAUUUCCUACAAGAAAAUCAGAAAUUACUGCGUAAUUUCCACGUAAGGGAUAAAAGCACGUAUCUCUCUCAUAAAACCACAUCGAGGCGAAUGGAUUUUAACGUCGUCGGGAGACGAAGCUUCGAAUGGAGAUUGGAAAACGGCGCGCGAGCAUUUUGAAAACAGGCAUUUUGAGAAAAGAGAAUAAGAGAUUGCGAGACUGUCACACAGAGAGAGAGAGAGAGAGAGAAAGAGAGAGAGAGAGACACGAGAGACUGGGAGGUUAACGAGUAACGAGCGGUCGUGAUUGCGUAAUUUCCGGGAAGAAGCGAUCGCACGCAGCUAGGGAGCCUGCGAUCGUUCUUGAAGGAGCGGCGUGGUGUGCCGGCAUUCGUCCUUGGAGCGCCCUUGAUACUGGCUGUGCAAGCUAAAUCGGCCGAUGGAAAGCUGGCUGGUCGGGUUUGGCGAGUGUGUAGGGCGUGGUCUAGCGUUGCACCCGGUGACCUCCUAGCCAGCUAGGCGGCCAUCUUUGAGCAUCGAGUCGUCCGGGCGUACUGCGAGGGUGAAAGUUGGGGUGGGUUUUCGGUGAGGAUGGAACCGACGAACAGGUCGCUUCGUGAAAUCCUCUCUCUCUCUCUCUCUCGCUCGCUCGCGCCGCUGCCUGGCCUCGCUCUGUCAAAGGAGACGCCCUCUCCCACGCCUCGUAACACUUCCUUUUCUCUCUCCUCUCUUCUCUUCCCUACCCGUUCUUCCCUCUCCCUUCUCGCUUCUCACCGGAAGUCUUCGCUUUCGUUUCCCUCCUCCUUCUCCACUCUCCCCCUCCCCCCUUCGUUUCACGCGACUCGCACCACUCAUCUCCUCGAACGCUUUUGCUUUUAAUUUUGCCUUUGCAACAGGCCUGUCGCAAGCUUUCCCCACGAAUCACCCCGAGCAACGAUUAGGCUUUUAACCUGCCGAGGGAUCAACUGUCGGACGAUGCAGAGCUUGUCGCUUUUCCCCAACUGGAAACUCGCAAACUUCGUAGUUCUCGAACUUUCACAGAGACGCAUACCGAGAGUGUAUUCCUUCGGUACCACUCGCAUGCCCCUCUACCCCCCUCCACCCGCUGGCCAACCGUUUCGCAAUGAUGUCAUCCGCAACAUUGGCGCAGACAACGGAGGGGAAUUUUCUUCAAACGGGGCAGGGAACGAAGUCCACAACGCCAAGAGACACGAUCUCGUCACUGUUUUUUAUUCGGAUGCAAGCCCGGUUGGCGUGACAACGUUUUUCCUAAAAAAAAAAAAAAAAAAAAAAAAAAAUAAAGCGACGAUACUCGAAGACAAUUGGAUGGCGUGGAAUUCUCGUCACCGCGAUGCGAAUGACGCGGCGAGAACGGAACUCGCGUUCAGCGGAUUAAGAAGAUGAGUCGUCGAGUCGCCAGACUUGUGGCCUCAGAUUAUUUAACCCGCGCGUGAAAGACUUUUCAUUCUUCCUCGGUGCAGCUUGCCAAAGUCGUGCCAACUAUCCAUCUGAGAUUACCAAAUUUUAAUUACCAAUUACCUAGAAAAAGAAGAUAUUAGCUGCAGAUUGGACUACAAUUGCACAGAUUGGUAAUAUGGUAAUGAUUUUAAAAUAACUGAACUUUCGUAAUUGUACGUUUAUUUUCAAUUUCAGCCUCGUUACAAUAAAACGGUUGUGCAUCAUUCUCACAUGCACAUGCGUAGCACAUUUCGCUUCACCUAUCGUAUAAAUUUUAUUGCUUACAAUUUGUUACAAAUUUACGCACACGUAUCUGUGUAAACAAAGCAAUUACACACAUAUGUACACACACACAUUCACGCACGUGGUGCAUACAAAUUCAAUAGCUGGCGACCAUUCGUUUAUGGCUACGAGGUUGACAUUUCCGAGUUGGAAAUUCCGGGGAAUUUCAGCAGAAAGCCGGCAAAAAGGUUGCGAGCGAUUUUGAUAGGAAACGCGUUUUCUCGGACUCAGGUAGCAAGCACACGAUGAGCCAUGGCGAGGCGGAUUCGAGGACACCGUGUAAAAUUAGACAGCGCGUGGAACGGAAUUCGAGCCAAUCAAGCAAUCCCAAAUGGAAAUGGAAACGGUUCGGUUACUAUACAAAAGAUGGCCGCAAUGCGGUGGUUUCUAUAAAAUGGCGGUUGUUGUGUCCACCCGUCGCUCGCUCUUCUUUUUUCUCUCUUGCACAGAUUUCAACCGAUACUUACGCCUUCCGAAAGCACACACGUCCCAAUGUCUUCGAUAAAAUUAUUUCGUUUCGUCGCGAUUAUUAAAGCGAACCGAUCACGCUAAAAACAUUCUGUAUACAAAAAUUUCAAUACUACCAAAAAGUUUCUUUUUCGCAAAAAAGGAAAAAAAAUUCAAUGAUCUAGAGAUUUGCAACUUGGGGGCACGCUUGGUUCGACAGCGAUAACAAGCGAAACCAAUGUCAGCGAUAUCGAGGGAAGAAACGAAUCUGGUAAUAUUACAAGAUCGGUACAGAAUAUCGAGACUACGAUCUCGAUAGCGGUACGUACGUAUAAAGUGGCACAAGGCAAGCCAGUCCCACUUCCCUUUCCUCCUUACAUGUACGUGCGCGCACGGCAUAUCUCAAUUCCAUCAUCGUCUCCUACCUGUCCAUUCUUCCUAAGGAGUGGUAAAACUUUCCAAACUUCUCGUUUUUAUCCAUCGACUUUUCUCUAUACCGUGAAACGUGUCAACAAAAUCAUAGUACAAGUACUGUCCUUUUCAAACGAACUUAACCCACUGGAAAUACCGUAUACAGUUUUUUUUUCUCUCAUUGCACGCGAAGAGAAUCGUGCAUGUCCUUUCCUUACUUGGAGUCCAACGAAACAAAAAAAGAAAAAAAAUUUGUUUCUCUGCGCGGGACAAUCACGGACUGUAUCAAAAACGUGUGAAAUCUGAAAUCACAAAAAAUAUGCAUUUAAAGAGUUUCUUCAAAUAUGAAAAAGAAAAAAGAGAUAAAUGCAGAUGCGAGCUGUGAAACAACACUUGUAAAACCGAUACACUUGUUUUACACGGAGAAUGACAACGGAGCGGUUUACUAAAGAGAGA
Frieseomelitta varia is the source of this 3046-nucleotide long non-coding RNA. RefSeq lists it as uncharacterized. NCBI's taxonomy places the organism in Eukaryota, Metazoa, Arthropoda, Insecta, Hymenoptera, Apidae. The record is from RefSeq and is a predicted model, not a curated record. The transcript is spliced from 2 exons.